CAGGAAAUAAUGCUUACUUGUUUUUCGGAUAUAAAGAUGCAUUUAGAUCGCUAGUCUGUGGUUUCCCAAGAGCAAAUACCGUAUUCCCAAUGGCUUGUGAAUUUUCAAUGGUAGAAAGGUAAAGUGUGGGUUUGUGGUUCAUGGCAAUGCUUCAAAGCUCCUCCUUCAUUAAAUCUCGUCUCAAGGAGUGGCUUAAAGGUUGAUGAAAUUUAAGAUUCAGAGUAUCACUUUACGCAAACAUAUUGGACGACUUGCGAAAGGCCCAGGAAUUCAAUGAUGUCAUUAUUCAUAGCACAGACACUGUAAUUCUUUAGGCAAUGCUGAAAAAAUAGUCUAUGGUUUUUGCCAGUAAUAGAGGACAGUACGAAAGGGUGAUAUGGUGAAUUCAACGAGGUUAUGGAGGAAAUUAUGGAAACGAAUUAUCAAGAGACCAGCCCCACAAGUUGGAACAUGUUCGCAAAGCAGAAUUUAAUGGAACGGCGGAUAAAAACCUCACUACCGCAUCACACAAAAAGGGGAUAAAGCAAGAAGACAACCAACCACAGUGAUUUAUCCUCAAUUUUGCUUCAUG
This is a long non-coding RNA of Rhopilema esculentum, 571 nucleotides long. RefSeq lists it as uncharacterized. Lineage: Eukaryota; Metazoa; Cnidaria; Scyphozoa; Rhizostomeae; Rhizostomatidae. The record is from RefSeq and is a predicted model, not a curated record.